GCUCUCAUUAACAGCGGGCCUCCGACAGCGGAACCAUGUCCCGGUCCAAACAGCGGAUCCGGUCCAUUCACCGGGACGCUGCGUAAGGACAGCCGGAAUGAAGGGCCAAGGGGCCGUGCAGGUUAUGAGACAUGGUCCGCUGCCGGGAAAUCUGGACCUCAGGCCGGCUGGCCAGGUCAGAGCGGUACCGUCCGGGUGGUGCUGCAGAAAUCCGUUUAUCGACAAUUUGUCAGGUUAUUGAUCACAGGGUUUAUCUGGAUUAGAGUCAUCAGCAAACCUCCGGACCUGAAGGACAAUUCACCCGCUCUCCUGCACCAUUUCUGCCUACAGUGCCGUGACCGUGGAUGAGCCUCACCUCCCCGCAGACAGCCUAGCAGUGACCGACCGGAGCUGCAGCCUCAGUCCGCCUCUGACGAUCACAGCUCGUUCACACGGACGCUAGCUGGCCUGGCUAAACGUUAGCUUAGCACCGUUAGCUUAGCUCCGAGAAGGAAAAUCUCAAACCGCAACCACAUCCCCGGCAUUUCAGGGGACGAAGCGCAGUGUGAACGAUUCCGGACCGGCUCACAACAAACAGCCGAAGUGUCCGCCUCCGGUUCGGCUGCUCUCUGUCUUCAUUUCCACACUCAGAGCGCGACACCAGGGAUUAUCAAUAACAGACGCCAGGAUUCUGUCGGGUGGCAAUGGUCAGACACUGAUGGAGACCAAACAAACGAUAAAGAGAAACUCCAAGGUCAUGUGAAGAUGCAGCUGUUGGAAUCCUUUGUCUUGCACAUUUCUUGUUUUGUAUAUGAUGUAACCAAGAUUGAUAAGCUUUGACUAUUUGAAAACCUGAGCUGAAGAAGAGAGGGUCAGUACUUCAUUUCAUGUCCAAUAUCACACUGGGCAUGGUAUGCAGUUUUGACCCAUAUUAAUCUGUAAACUGUGUGAAAAUGGCUAAUUAAAUUUAUUAAUCGCC
Archocentrus centrarchus (flier cichlid) is the source of this 958-nucleotide long non-coding RNA. RefSeq lists it as uncharacterized. The transcript has 2 exons. The record is from RefSeq and is a predicted model, not a curated record. Lineage: Eukaryota; Metazoa; Chordata; Actinopteri; Cichliformes; Cichlidae.